GUACACUCCUGCGGGAGGCAGCAGUGGGGAAUAUUGGACAAUGGGCGCAAGCCUGAUCCAGCCAUGCCGCGUGAGUGAUGAAGGCCCUAGGGUUGUAAAGCUCUUUCACCGGUGAAGAUAAUGACGGUAACCGGAGAAGAAGCCCCGGCUAACUUCGUGCCAGCAGCCGCGGUAAUACGAAGGGGGCUAGCGUUGUUCGGAUUUACUGGGCGUAAAGCGCACGUAGGCGGACUAUUAAGUCAGGGGUGAAAUCCCGGGGCUCAACCCCGGAACUGCCUUUGAUACUGGUAGUCUUGAGUUCGGGAGAGGUGAGUGGAAUUCCGAGUGUAGAGGUGAAAUUCGUAGAUAUUCGGAGGAACACCAGUGGCGAAGGCGGCUCACUGGCUCGAUACUGACGCUGAGGUGCGAAAGCGUGGGGAGCAAACAGGAUUAGAAACCCUAGUAGUCCC
This 449-nucleotide ribosomal RNA is filed under the name uncultured organism. RNAcentral's name for it is "partial 16S ribosomal RNA". It matches the Rfam family "Bacterial small subunit ribosomal RNA", at positions 331 to 797 of the family's 1533-position model. The record is from RNAcentral.